This 201-nucleotide ribosomal RNA is filed under the name uncultured bacterium. RNAcentral describes it as "partial 16S ribosomal RNA". It matches the Rfam family "Bacterial small subunit ribosomal RNA", at positions 524 to 721 of the family's 1533-position model. The record is from RNAcentral.
UACGAAGGGGGCUAGCGUUGCUCGGAAUCACUGGGCGUAAAGGGUGCGUAGGCGGGUCUUUAAGUCAGGGGUGAAAUCCUGGAGCUCAACUCCAGAACUGCCUUUGAUACUGAGGAUCUUGAGUUCGGGAGAGGUGAGUGGAACUGCGAGUGUAGAGGUGAAAAUUCGUAGAUAUUCGUCAAGAACACCAGUCGGCGAAGG